AGGCACUUCCGCUGCAAGAGGUUGAGAGCGCGGCCUUCAUUCCUCUCCGGGAGCAAGCGCCUGGCUCUCCUUUCUGAUUCCUGCAGGAGAGGAGGCUGUUCCUGGACUAUUUCUGACCUGUUUUUUAAGAAAGAGUGCAUCACUCAACAGGUGGCAUCUGGAGUUAUCCUCUGUGGAUUUUCCAGGAUCUCAGACAAGAUCGUGCAAUCUCCCAGCCUCCUUUCCUUCCCCUGCUCUGGCUUCUGAAAGAAUGCUGCGGAGAGGAGGAAAGAGAGCAUCCUGGCUCCUAGCAGCAGAGCCCCACUGUGACAGGACCUAGCAUUCACCUUUCUCUUCUGUUCCGAGUGGAAGAAGAAUCAGAAUCAUACCCUGAGAGCUACAAGGAGAACUCCAUUUUUCACUGUGCAGGGGCUCUCUCCUGAAGGGUCAAGUGGAAUCUGGAAUCCAGCCCAUGUUUCCCCAUCAUCAAGCCAUGUGAAGCUGCAGACUCCCUGAGUGUCUUAGUCUGUUUGUGCUGCUAUAACAAAAUAUACCAUAGACUGGGUGGCUUAAACAGCAAACCUUUAUAACUCACAG
This 576-nucleotide long non-coding RNA is filed under the name Theropithecus gelada (gelada). RNAcentral describes it as "lncRNA (ENSTGEG00000017534.1)". Lineage: Eukaryota; Metazoa; Chordata; Mammalia; Primates; Cercopithecidae. The record is from RNAcentral.